AAUUGAUUACUUUAUUAUUGUUUCUCUACAUUUUUACACAUAUAUUUUAUUUAUAUUUUGUUUUUAUGUGUAUCUGUUUGUGUGUCUGUAUGUAUCUGUCAAUGUGCACCUGAGUGUGUGUGUGUGUCUGUAUCUUUCAGUGUGUAUAUCUGUGUGUCUGUGUAUUUACAUGUAUGUCAGUGUGUGUCUGUAUGUGUCCUAUGUGUGUGUAUGUAUCAGAGUGCAUGUGUGUGUAUCUAUGUGUGUGUCUGUGUAUAUUUGGGUGCCAGAUUGCACCUGAGUGUGUAUCUGUGUCUGUGUGUGUAUCUGUGUGUCUGUAUCUGGGUGUUAGUGUGCACGUGAAUGUAUGUGUGUGUAACUGUGUCUGUAUAUUUUCAUGUAUGUCAAUGCAUGUGCCUGUAUCUCCUAUGUGUGUGCAUGUGUGUAUCAGUGUGUGUAUGUGUCUGUAUCUGUGUGUCAGUUUGCACCUGAGUGUGUCUGUGUAUAUGUGUGUAUGUCUAUGUAUCUGUGUCAGUGUGAACCUGAGUGUAUGUGUGUGUAACUAUGUGCCAAUAUGUGUAACUGUGUCUGUGUAUUUGCAUGUAUGUCAGGGGGUGUGUGUAUGUGUCUGUAUCUGUGUGUCAGUUUGCACCUGAGUGUGUCUGUGUAUAUGUGUGUAUGUCUAUGUAUCUGUGUCAGUGUGAACCCGAGUGUAUGUGUGUGUAACUAUGUGCCAAUAUGUGUAACUGUGUCUGUGUAUUUGCAUGUAUGUCAGGGGGUGUGUGUGUUUGUGUGUGUGUGUUUAUAUACUACAGACAAAUGCACGCUUGCAUUCAAACACCAACAUUCAAAUACACACAUACUCCAUUCAAAACCAUGUUUAUAUUCAAACACACAUACACUACUGUGUGCUAAAUACAGCCCUGCAAAUUAUAGAUCCAUAGCUAGCAAAGCAUUCUGGGACUUACAACAGAUUCGGAUCUACAUUUGGCCACUUUACACACACUGCAUCCACUAAACACACACUGUAUUGACUACACACACAGACUCUGCAUUCACUCUACACACAUAAUGCAUCUUUGUUGGCAGAUUCAAGGAUGGCCCUGUGGGCGGACUCGUGAGUGGGCACUGGGGGCCCAGACCUUGAACUUUGUCAGGGGCCCCAACAUUUCUGAUGGCAGCCCUGGC
Molecule: non-coding RNA, 1167 nt
Organism: Pelobates cultripes (western spadefoot toad)
Lineage: Eukaryota; Metazoa; Chordata; Amphibia; Anura; Pelobatidae
Source: the annotation of a GenBank genome assembly